GAGAAGUUAGCUCAGUCGGUAGAGCAAAUGGCUGUUAACCAUUAGGUCGUAGGUUCAAACCCUACACUUCUCG
This 73-nucleotide transfer RNA is filed under the name Caudoviricetes sp. RNAcentral's name for it is "tRNA-Asn". It matches the Rfam family "tRNA". From Rfam's summary of the family: Transfer RNA (tRNA) molecules are approximately 80 nucleotides in length. Their secondary structure includes four short double-helical elements and three loops (D, anti-codon, and T loops). Lineage: Duplodnaviria; Heunggongvirae; Uroviricota; Caudoviricetes. The record is from RNAcentral.